UUGGGUUAAGUCCCGCCAAGCGAGAGCAACCCUCGUCCAUACGUUGCCAUUCAGGUAAGUGNUGGGGAGCUNUAUGGAGACUGCCGGUGACAAGCCGGAGGAAGGUGGGGAUGACGUCAAGUCACUCAUGGCCCUUACAUCCCAGGGCUACACACGUACUACAAUGGCCGGUACAGAAGGAAGCAAGACCGCGAGGUGGAGCCAAUCCCCAAAACCGGUCNUCAUGAUUGGAGUCUGCAANUCGACUCCAUGAAGGAGGAAUCGUUAGUAAUCGCUGAUCAGCAGCAGCGGUG
Molecule: ribosomal RNA, 293 nt
Filed under: uncultured bacterium
Lineage: Bacteria
Description: partial 16S ribosomal RNA
Rfam family: Bacterial small subunit ribosomal RNA
Source: RNAcentral